UUUUUUUUUUUUUUUUUUUUGGUCAUUUGUCGUUUUAGGGCCAUACCUGCAGCACACAGAGGUUCCCAGGCUAGGGGUCAAAUCGGAGCUGUAGCCACCCACCUACACCACAGUAACACAGGAUCCGAGCCACGUCUGCCACCCACACCACAGCCCAUGGCCAUGCUGGAUCCUUAACCCACUGAGCGAGGCCAGGGAUCAAACUCGAGUCCUCAUGGAGACGAGUCGGGUUCCUUAAGCCCUGAGCCCCAGCGGGAACUCCUACGGUCGGAUUCGUAACCCACUGCACCACGGGAACUCCAGCGUCUUUGGUUUCUCUACGAUCAUUUUAAGAAACAGAGUAAAUGAGAGUUUGGCUUCAGUUCCCAGAGCCAGCACGGUGACGACAGGUGUUUCAAGUUCAGGCUGAGCCCUGGGACGCCCUUGGGACAACCAAGAAGCAUCCAGAGCCGUGCCCUCCUCGGGAGGCCAAACAAACCCUAGGAUGUGCCCACACACAGAUGUAACACAGAUUUUUUUUUUAAGCCUUCAAAGGAUACACUGACCCACAAAGUCACGGAAUCAGCGUCCAAAGCAGAGUCAGUCUCGAAAGACAGGAAAGUGAAUCUCCUCCCUAACAAGGUAACUCCGACAGGCCCUGCACGGUGAAGCCAAACCAGCCCUCACUCAGGUGGACUAGCAGGGACCAGGGCCCCCCCUCACACACCCAAGAGAGGUGGUGGUGGGGGCCCACAGAGCCCUGCUUACGACAGCAGCCUGGCCCCUGAGAAACAGAACGGGUCAAGGGUACCUGAGGCUGGGAGUUCCCGAGGGGCCCAGCGAGGUCAGGGUCUGGCUUUAUCACUGCUGUGCCUCAGGUCACUGCUGUGGCACGGAUGCCAUCCCUGGCCCUGGAACUUCUGCAGGCCAUGGGCGUGGCCAAGCAAGGGGGCCUUUGGUCACGUGACUGCGGCUGUGCCCCCAGGAAGUAAGCAGCUGCUCCUCUUCACCUGGGAGGGGGGACAGUACACAUUCAUCCUUGGGACAAAUCCACCUGCCCUCGGUCACGGCACAGCCCAGGGACCCUGAGCACUGGUCCACCAGGCUGAUGGCGUCUUGUGAACGGGGCAUGAGGAAGAGAGGGUGGGGGUGUUCGCGUUGCUCUGAGACAGACUCCAUGUGCUGGGAGUGAUGGCAGGUCUUUUUUUUUUUUAUUAUUUUCUUUUUUAUAGGGCCACACAUGCAGCAUAUGGAGGUUCCAGGUCAGGGGUCCAAUCAGAGCUGCAGCUGCCGGCCUACACCACAGCCACAGCCACACC
Molecule: long non-coding RNA, 1298 nt
Filed under: Sus scrofa (pig)
Lineage: Eukaryota; Metazoa; Chordata; Mammalia; Artiodactyla; Suidae
Description: lncRNA (ENSSSCG00025048182.1)
Source: RNAcentral